GCUUUUUUGCUGAGAGUGGCGGACGGGUGAGUAAUGCUUGGGAAUCUGGCUUAUGGAGGGGGAUAACUGUGGGAAACUGCAGCUAAUACCGCGUAUUCUCUGAGGAGGAAAGGGUGGGACCUUAGGGCCACCUGCCAUAAGAUGAGCCCAAGUGGGAUUAGGUAGUUGGUGGGGUAAAGGCCUACCAAGCCUGCGAUCUCUAGCUGGUCUGAGAGGAUGACCAGCCACACUGGAACUGAGACACGGUCCAGACUCCUACGGGAGGCAGCAGUGGGGAAUAUUGCGCAAUGGGGGGAACCCUGACGCAGCCAUGCCGCGUGAAUGAAGAAGGCCUUCGGGUUGUAAAGUUCUUUCGGUAAUGAGGAAGGGAUGUUGUUAAAUAGAUAGCAUCAUUGACGUUAAUUACAGAAGAAGCACCGGCUAACUCCGUGCCAGCAGCCGCGGUAAUACGGAGGGUGCGAGCGUUAAUCGGAAUAACUGGGCGUAAAGGGCACGCAGGCGGACUUUUAAGUGAGAUGUGAAAUCCCCGAGCUU
This 534-nucleotide ribosomal RNA is filed under the name uncultured Pasteurella sp. RNAcentral describes it as "bacterial SSU rRNA". It matches the Rfam family "Bacterial small subunit ribosomal RNA", at positions 76 to 610 of the family's 1533-position model. Lineage: Bacteria; Pseudomonadati; Pseudomonadota; Gammaproteobacteria; Pasteurellales; Pasteurellaceae. The record is from RNAcentral.